AACGGCGAGUGAAGCGGGAAGAGCUCAAGCUUGAAAUCCGGCGCCCCCGGGGGGUGCCGGAGUUGUAACCUACAGGUGCGUGUUCGCCCGCUGGUGGGGCUGCGGCUAAGUCCGAUUUGAAAAGGGCACCAAGGAGGGUGGCAGUCCCGUUCGUGCCGUGGUCCUGCCUGCGAUGUGGCCUCGCUUCCCAGGAGUCGAGUUGCUUGGGAUUGCAGCUCAAAGGGGGUGGUAAACUCCAUCCAAAGCUAAACACGUGUGGGAGACCGAUAGCGAACAAGUACCGUGAGGGAAAGAUGCAAAGAACUUUGAAAAGAGAGUCAAAGAGUGCCUGAAAUUGCUGAGAGGGAAGCGAAGGAAAGUAGUGUCGAUCGAGGGGAUCUUGCACACGGGGAACGGUCCCCUGGGGCCCUCCCCGUUAUCCCCCGCGCUGUCAGGGGCGGGUGUGGUUUAAGUCGGCGACUGCGGCAUCAUUAGUACAGGUGUUCCGAGGUAACAGCCGGACAAAUGCUGUGGGUCACUGAGCGUCCCGCCCGCGGCCGUCCCUGACGAAAUGUUUUUC
This 559-nucleotide ribosomal RNA is filed under the name Lobophora rosacea. RNAcentral's name for it is "LSU rRNA". It matches the Rfam family "Eukaryotic large subunit ribosomal RNA", at positions 85 to 642 of the family's 3401-position model. Lineage: Eukaryota; Phaeophyceae; Dictyotales; Dictyotaceae. The record is from RNAcentral.